GAUUGUGGGUGAUUGUCUCCCAUGCUCGGAUGCUCAGUCUCGGGCCGUGGUGUUUGGCAGAAAUGAGUGAUUUUUCAGAAUGUUGGAAGGUGCCCACAACUGGCACUAGAGUAUUUUUUGUCACUUCCAAGCACCUAUGGACGGUCCUUUGCUUCAUUCUAGGUCAGGCCGCCUGCAGAUAAUAGACCCUUUCCUCUGCUGCCUUAUUGCCAGUUACAUUAAAUACAGUCUCUGACAAGAGUUUAUGAAUACUUUACUGUAGUCAACAUCCGUGUGAGCAUAUACAAUGGUCCCCGUGCAGAAAAAGAUUCCAUUGAGCCAAAAGAUAGCAGUAAUUCCAUUAGUGAUACUGAAAGUUGUCCUACACAAUAGCCCUCCCCUCUCUCAUCUCCCUCACACCAGCCACGAAGGCUUUCAAAGAGAGAGAGAGAAUCCGAAGCAGGCGCCUCUGACAGGGGGGCUCAUCUCCGGAAGCGUGAGCUCAUGACCCAGGCCGCAGCUAAGAGUCGGACGCUUAACCGACUGAGCCACCCAGGUGCCCCACGUGCACAUAUUUUGAAAUGUAAUUAUUCAAUAAUGAUUGAAUUAAAAUGAAA
Molecule: long non-coding RNA, 596 nt
Organism: Neofelis nebulosa (Clouded leopard)
Lineage: Eukaryota; Metazoa; Chordata; Mammalia; Carnivora; Felidae
Exons: 2
Source: RefSeq, a predicted model, not a curated record